Molecule: long non-coding RNA, 1878 nt
Organism: Gopherus flavomarginatus (Mexican gopher tortoise)
Lineage: Eukaryota; Metazoa; Chordata; Testudines; Testudinidae
Exons: 3
Source: RefSeq, a predicted model, not a curated record
UAUGGGAUUACCCAUCUCAUACUCAGAGUUUGAAAAAUUCAGCACUCUGCUGGAAUGGGAAGUGGCACAGGAGUCUUAUUUAUAGUAGGAGAUACACUCAUUGGAUGAGUUUUUGUGUGCAGGCAGGGCAGAUUCUGAGGAGCAAGUCAGCCCAGGGCCACAAUCCAGGCUUUGACCAGUAGGUUUGGGGUACCUCUGGCUGAUAGAAAAAAACCAGAGGGACUCCUCUCCUUAACUGACCCAUCUGGGGAUUGAGUUAGAUAUGCCGGCUGGUAUAUCUAGACUCCCCGAGGAUAAACUGGGGGAACUUCUGGAAUUGAUCAUCAAGGCUAGAGCAGCCAGGAAUUUUAUACUGCGGGAGCUGCAAUCUAUUAUCGGACUUUUAAAUGUUGCAUGUCAAUUGGUGGCACCAGGAUGGAUAUUUUGCACUGGAGUGUCAGCUGCCGCCUUGGGAAUAUCGAAGCCCAUCCAUUUUCAAAUUGUUAAUAAAGAGAUGGAGGAGGGUUUAGGAAUCAUGGAACAGUUUCUGAAUCCUUUUAAUGGAGUGUCUUUUUGGAGGGAGGAAUGGAUGAUAAAGGCAGAGUUAAAGAUUCAUUACAAUGCAUUGGGAGGAAUAGGUUUUGGGUAUUUUACCAAGGCAGGUGCUGUGCCGAGAAAUGGCCCUUAGAUUGGAUACUAAAAGGUAUAAUAAAGGAUAUAACAUUUCUGGAAUUCUUUCCCAUUUUGAUAGCAGAGACUAUUUGGGGAAUGGAUUUUGCAAACAAAAGCAAGGGUUUUUGGACUGACAACAUAGCCGUAGCACAUUUUAUCAAUUGCCAGUCCUCCAGAUUGCCAGGGUCAUAAAGUUGGUAAGUGAAUUUUUACUACAGCGUUUAACGCUUAAAAUGUUUCUCUGCCAGAUAUGUACCUGGGAUUGAUAAUAGUGUAGCUGAUGCAUUCUCUCAAUUUUAAUUGGACAAAUUUUGGGAUCUGGCACCAGGAACCAACGAGGAACCAGAAUGGAUACCCAUAACGCUCUGGGACUAGGGCACAUGAAGGAUCUCAGGGUAUUAAAGAGAUCAGGAACAGCAUGAACAUCUAGGUCUAUGACAGGAGGUUCAAUGAUUUUGUGCAUUUUCAGAGAUGGGGCUCUGUGGAUGACCUGACCUAUUCCAGAAGACCAGAUACUUCAAUACACAGGGUUACUGGCUCUCUGUGGGCUGGCAUCAUCUGCCAUUUCUGGUCACCUGUUGGGCGUUACAUUUGUCAGUCAAAUGAGAGGUUACCCUACUUCUUGUAGCAGAUUCUGAGUCUGGAGGUUUUUAGUAGGUUUUGGGACAGAGGCCCUAGCAAGGAUCCCCAUUGUCUCAUCACUGUUCAGACACUUAGGGCUUUGAUGCAAGUUCUCUACCAAAAACUCAGAAGCGGACAGGAGGUGGCCUUGUUCAAAACUGCAGUCCAGGUUGUGUUUUUUGGAGCUUUCAGAGUCAGCGAACCAGUGCCUGUGGGAGCGAGGGAUACACCAGGAAGGGCUUUGGAGUGGUGACAGUGAGAUUUACAAUGGAAGGAGUGAAAGGGGCUUACAAAGUUGGAGCUACCAGUGGAUGAAUUUAAUUCCUGCUCAUUCCAAAUCGGGGCUACGAAAGCUUCGGCCCAACUUGGGUGAGGGGCCACAGUGAUGCAGGCAAUUGGGUGAUGGCAUUCAAAUGAAUACAGGAGACCCCAGCCCCCCCUCAAUGAUGGCGAAGAAGGGCAGCACUGCCCCGGCAGCAGGAUGGCUGGGACCUAGCUGGAGAUUAUGUGGAAGUGAUGAUGAUCUGCACUGUACAAUUUAUUGCUGGCUACUCCCAGAUAUUUUAAGUGAAUAAAUUUGUGGCCUAAUUAAACCACAUCCAUUAC